RNAcentral lists this ribosomal RNA (131 nucleotides) under uncultured bacterium. RNAcentral describes it as "partial 16S ribosomal RNA". It matches the Rfam family "Bacterial small subunit ribosomal RNA", at positions 356 to 504 of the family's 1533-position model. The record is from RNAcentral.
GAGGAAUAUUGGGCAAUGGAGGCAACUCUGACCCAGCCAUGCCGCGUGAGUGAAGAAGGUUUUCGGAUUGUAAAGCUCUUUCGGGUGUGACGAUGAUGACGGUAGCACCUAAAGAAGCCCCGGCUAACUUC